UGCAUAUAAAGAGGCUCGCCAGAUGCGGUUUUAAUACAAGGUCAAAGGGGCUAGGCCAACGUGUGGGCUUGCAUGGCAGAUGGGAAACAACUGUAAUUGGCAGAGCAUGUUAAUAAAAGGGUUAAUUAGAAGAGGCACGAGCCCAGCUGUGGACGUUGACAUGAGUGUCUGGAGAAAGGAGGUCAGUGAAGGCAAGACAGGGAGGACUACACAAGCCAAGGCAAAGCAAGGCAAGGCAAGGCAAAGCAAAGCAAAGUGUGCUUAUUCGCGCUAUAAUAAUGCGGAAUGGAGCUCACUCUCUGCACACAGAUCUACAUAUCGAUGCUGCUAAGCUCUUCUCGCGUGGGUGGCUGAAUGAGAGUAAAUCUAAAAAUAACUUCCUGGCAACACGUACUGCCACCCACGCUCCAUGCCCCUAGUGCCCACGCGUCGCUUCUAUGUCUUUGUGUUUGCGGCUGGCUGAGCAGGGAGCUUGGGACUUACCCGAAACCAAAUCCCUCAAAUGCCACAUAUCAAAUCCGUAAAAUUACCGCGUUCUGAUGCUUGCCUAAUGGCACCCGUUGCACACACACACACACACAUGCACACACACCCACUACUAGAGCGCGAUGAAGCAUAAUAAUAUUCGGUUUCCAUUUAAUUUUGGCUAUCGAUAAAGCUACGCCACGAAGACUACAAAUUUUUAUUUUAUUUAUAAGCCAAGCAAACGACAAUACUCAAUCCAUAUUGCACAGAGCUAUCGCCAGCCAAUAAACCGAUUCCAAGUGAUCCAUAUACUGAGGCCUUCAUAAACUGUUACGAUUUGCAAGUCAAUAGGAGGCAGCUGGGACAACGUGCACAGACAACCAUCAGAUCAUUUUCCAUCAUUAUGUACAGCUGAAUAAAUGGUUUAUUAAUAUUAUUAGCAUUA
Molecule: long non-coding RNA, 910 nt
Organism: Drosophila navojoa
Lineage: Eukaryota; Metazoa; Arthropoda; Insecta; Diptera; Drosophilidae
Source: RefSeq, a predicted model, not a curated record